UACGAAGGGUGCUAGCGUUGUUCGGAAUUACUGGGCGUAAAGCGCGCGUAGGCGGUGAUGCAAGUCAGGGGUGAAAUCCCGGAGCUUAACUCCGGAACUGUCUCUGAAACUGCAUUGCUGGAGUGUGUGAGGGGAUAGCGGAAUUCCUAAUGUAGAGGUGAAAUUCGUAGAUAUUAGGAGGAACACCCGUGGCGAAGGCGGUUCUCUGGGACGGUACUGACGCUGAGACGCGAAAGCGUGGGGAGCGAACAGG
This 253-nucleotide ribosomal RNA is filed under the name uncultured bacterium. RNAcentral describes it as "partial 16S ribosomal RNA". It matches the Rfam family "Bacterial small subunit ribosomal RNA", at positions 524 to 776 of the family's 1533-position model. The record is from RNAcentral.